RNAcentral lists this long non-coding RNA (745 nucleotides) under Canis lupus familiaris (dog). Its description in RNAcentral is "lncRNA (ENSCAFG00000038966.3, ENSCAFG00805028502.1)". The record is from RNAcentral. Lineage: Eukaryota; Metazoa; Chordata; Mammalia; Carnivora; Canidae.
AAAUAGAAUUGAGGUUCCUCCCACCUGACCCUCUGCCAGUUUUCGUGUUUAUUCUUACUUCUUUAUACUUGCGCAGUCUAACACAUUUAUUCUUCCCACAGGAGUUACUAUGAUAUGCAUUAGACAUUAAUAUGCACAUUUGAAUGAGGAGUCAGGUUCCAAGUUACAAUAAAAACCACUUGUAAAGAAUUUUCUCUUGAAUUCAAAUCUUUAAACAGUCACAACAGAUUAAAUUAUUUUUUAAGGAAGUUAUUUAGGUAGCAUGUUCUAUCAUACUUGUAGCUCUACUCUUGGGUUGCCAGUGCUGCUGGGUUGCUUAAGAUGUUAACAUACUGACCUUAGGAGGAACAAGGACAUUCUGAUACUGUUGUGCCCAAUGGAACAAACCUAAUGGGAUCCAGGACUCUCUGUGGAUGAACAGGCUACCCCGCAGGGAGACAAUCAGUGGUGACCUUGAAGAUACAGAGCUGCUGUGAGCCUGGGUCUCUGAAUUAUUACAUGGAUGAGAGUGUCCUGCCAAUACAUUCGCCUUUCCAGUAAUGUGUUAUUAAUCAUCGUUCCUCAUUUCCUUUCACUGCUGGGAUUUGACAAGGAUUUUAUUUCACCUUGAAAAACUGCACAUAGUGGAGAGUUUCUUCACUUUAUUCCUGCAGUCUUAACAUACCCUACUGAGUAAAGGUAAAUUGCUUUUUAUUCUGUAUUCUGUUAUGUUUUUGAAAAAUGGUUUUCAAAUCACAGAUUUGAU